GAAGUCGGCCCUGCCCGGCGGUGUCAUACUAAGCGGUUGCAGUGAAUAACUGUGCUAAGGUAGCGCAAUCAAUUGUCCUUUAAUUCGAGGAAUGGAAUGAAAGGGUUGACGAGGGGAAAGCUGUCUCUGUAAUAUAGACUGAAGUUUUCUUUUAGGUGAAAAGACCUAGGUUUGAAAAUAAGACGAGAAGACCCCGGCGAGCUUGAUUAAAGCUCUUAAUAAUUAAAAGUUUGAAGUUUUGUUGGGGUAACACAAAGGGAAAGCAACUCCUUUGAAAGUGAUGAGGAUCCACCUCAGGGUGAAUAAAGCAAAAGCUACCGCGGGGAUAACAGCGUAAUUUUCUUAUAGAGUUCAUAUCGAAGAGAAAGAUUGCGACCUCGAUGUUGGAUUAAGGUUCCCUCUUGGUGUAGGAGU
This 414-nucleotide ribosomal RNA is filed under the name Meretrix meretrix (Asiatic hard clam). RNAcentral's name for it is "partial small subunit ribosomal RNA". It matches the Rfam family "Bacterial large subunit ribosomal RNA", at positions 1849 to 2562 of the family's 2925-position model. Lineage: Eukaryota; Metazoa; Mollusca; Bivalvia; Venerida; Veneridae. The record is from RNAcentral.